Molecule: ribosomal RNA, 482 nt
Filed under: uncultured bacterium
Lineage: Bacteria
Description: partial 16S ribosomal RNA
Rfam family: Bacterial small subunit ribosomal RNA
Source: RNAcentral
AUUGAACGCUGGCGGCAUGCCUUACACAUGCAAGUCGAACGGUAACGGGCCUUCGGGUGCCGACGAGUGGCGAACGGGGGAGUAAUACAUCGGAACGUGCCCGAUCGUGGGGGAUAACGAGGCGAAAGGUGUGCUAAUACCGCAUACGAGCUACGGAUGUAAGCAGGGGACCGCAAGGCCUUGCGCGGGCGGAGCGGCCGAUGGCAGAUUAGCUAGUUGGUGGGAUAAAAGCUUACCAAGCCGACGAUUUGUAGCUGGUCUGAGAGGAUGAUCAGCCACACUGGAACUGAGACACGGCCCAGACUCCUACGGGAGGCAGCAGUGGGGAAUUUUGGACAAUGGGCGCAAGCCUGAUCCAGCCAUGCCGCGUGCAGGAUGAAGGCCUUCGGGUUGUAAACUGCUUUUGUACGGAAAGAACAGCCUUCUUUUAAUACAGGAGGGUCAUGACGGUACCGUAAGAAUAAGCACCGGCUAACUACGUG